UACAGCGAAACUGCGAAUGGCUCAUUAUAUAAGUUAUCUUGUUUAUUUGAUAGUGCCUUACUACUUGGAUAACCGUGGUAAUUCUAGAGCUAAUACAUGCUAAAAACCCCGACUUCGGAAGGGGUGUAUUUAUUAGAUACAAAACCAAUGCCCUUCGGGGCUCUUUGGUGAUUCAUGAUAACUAUACGAAUCGCACGGCCUUGCGCCGGCGAUGGUUCAUUCAAAUUUCUUCCCUAUCAACUUUCGAUGUUUGGGUAUUGGCCAAACAUGGUUGCAACGGGUAACGGAGGGUUAGGGCUCGACCCCGGAGAAGGAGCCUGAGAAACGGCUACUACAUCCAAGGAAGGCAGCAGGCGCGCAAAUUACCCAAUCCCGACUCGGGGAGGUAGUGACAAUAAAUACUGAUACAGGGCCCUUUCGGGCCUUGUAAUCGGAAUGAGUACAAUUUAAAUCCCUUAACGAGGAACAAUUGGAGGGCAAGUCUGGUGCCAGCAGCCGCGGUAAUUCCAGCUCCAAUAGCGUAUAU
Molecule: ribosomal RNA, 526 nt
Filed under: uncultured eukaryote
Lineage: Eukaryota
Description: SSU rRNA
Rfam family: Eukaryotic small subunit ribosomal RNA
Source: RNAcentral